RNAcentral lists this ribosomal RNA (482 nucleotides) under uncultured bacterium. RNAcentral describes it as "bacterial SSU rRNA". It matches the Rfam family "Bacterial small subunit ribosomal RNA", at positions 32 to 524 of the family's 1533-position model. The record is from RNAcentral.
AAUCAACGCUGGCGGCGUGCCUCAGACAUGCAAGUCGAACGAUUAAAGCUCUCUUCGGAGAGUGUAUAGAGUGGCGCACGGGUGAGUAACACGUAAGUAAUCUACCCUCGAGUGGGGAAUAACAACCGGAAACGGUUGCUAAUACCGCAUAAUGCAGCGGCACCGCAAGGUGACAGUUGUUAAAGAUUUAUCGCUUGAGGAGGAGCUUGCGGCAGAUUAGCUAGUUGGUAGGGUAACGGCUUACCAAGGCUACGAUCUGUAACCGGUCUAAGAGGACGGUCGGUCACACAGACACUGAAUAACGGGUCAGACUCCUACGGGAGGCAGCAGUCGGGAAUUUUGGGCAAUGGGCGAAAGCCUGACCCAGCAACGCCGCGUGAAGGAUGAAGUAUUUCGGUAUGUAAACUUCGAAAGAAUAGGAAGAAUUAAUGACGGUACUAUUUAUAAGGUCCGGCUAACUACGUGCCAGCAGCCGCGGUAAU